Molecule: ribosomal RNA, 107 nt
Filed under: Smithella sp. SCADC
Lineage: Bacteria; Pseudomonadati; Thermodesulfobacteriota; Syntrophia; Syntrophales; Smithellaceae
Also listed under: 2 other names
Source: RNAcentral
UAAGGAAGCUAUACUGAGAGUGCUCCACCUGUUCCCAUCCCGACCACAGAAGUGAAAUCUCUCAAGGCCGAUGAUAGUCGCAAGGCGAAAGUAGGUAGCUUUCUUAC